AAUCAACGCUGGCGGCGUGCCUAACACAUGCAAGUCGAGCGGGAAAGGGGGCUUCGGCCCCUGAGUAUAGCGGCGGACGGGUGAGUAACACGUGGGUAAUUUGCCCUUGGGUGUGGAAUAACUCAGGGAAACUUGAGCUAAUACCGCAUGACAUCCCCUUCACACACGAGUCGGGGAUCAAAGCCGGGGACCCUUCGGGGCCUGGCGCCUGAGGAGAAGCCCGCGCCCGAUUAGCUAGUUGGGAGGUAAUGGCUCACCAAGGCUUCGAUCGGUAGCCGGCCUGAGAGGGCGGACGGCCACACUGGGACUGAGACACGGCCCAGACUCCUACGGGAGGCAGCAGUGGGGAAUUUUGUCAAUGGGGGAAACCCUGAACAAGCAACGCCGCGUGGAGGACGACGACCUGG
This 407-nucleotide ribosomal RNA is filed under the name uncultured bacterium. RNAcentral's name for it is "bacterial SSU rRNA". It matches the Rfam family "Bacterial small subunit ribosomal RNA", at positions 28 to 419 of the family's 1533-position model. The record is from RNAcentral.